UGCGCAGGCGGGGCAAUAAGUCAGUGGUGAAAUCCUGCGGCUUAACCGUAGAACUGCCAUUGAUACUGUUGCCCUUGAGUAUAGUUGAGGUGGGCGGAAUAUGUAAUGUAGCGGUGAAAUGCAUAGAUAUUACAUAGAACACCAAUUGCGAAGGCAGCUCACUAAGCUAUCACUGACGAUGAGGCACGAAAGCGUGGGGAGCGAACAGGAUUAGAUACCCUGGUAGUCC
Molecule: ribosomal RNA, 229 nt
Filed under: uncultured bacterium
Lineage: Bacteria
Description: partial 16S ribosomal RNA
Rfam family: Bacterial small subunit ribosomal RNA
Source: RNAcentral